RNAcentral lists this long non-coding RNA (1875 nucleotides) under Pelobates cultripes (western spadefoot toad). The record is from RNAcentral. Lineage: Eukaryota; Metazoa; Chordata; Amphibia; Anura; Pelobatidae.
GUCCUUUUAGGGUAAUUAAAUUAUACAGUAAAGCAUACUCACAUGCAGACACAGACAGUCUUACUGAUGCACACAAAUAGGCUCAUUGACAGACAAUCUCAAUGACACACACAGACAAGGUUACUGGUACACACACAAAUUUAGUACAGACAACUCUGAUACACAGACAAGCUCACUGCACACACAUGCUCACCACAGACAGGAGCAGGCACUCCCAUGCUCCCUACAGACAAGCUCACUAACACACAUACAAGCUCACUCACUAGCAGGUGCACACACACACAGAAGCUCCCUCACUAGCAGAUGCACACACACACAGAAGCUCACUCACUAGCAGAUGCGCACACACACACAGAAGCUCACUCACUCACUAGCAGAUGCAUACACACAAAGACAUCCACACACACAGAGGCAGACAUCCACACACACAGAGGCAGACAUCCACACACAGAGACAGGCAGACAGCCACACACACAGGCAGACAGUCACACACACAGACACACACAGUCAUACAUACACACAGAGGCAGACAGUCACACACACAGACAGUGUCUCUCACACACACACACACACACACACACACACAGGCAGUCACACUGACCUGCUUCUUACCUCCACAUCCCUGGAGCUCCUGGAGGCUGGUUGUUGGGGAAGCAGGAACUCCUUCCCAUGCUGCAUUAACCAGGGCCCCCACCGCACAUUAAGCCCCGCCCCCGCCGCAAUAUAUAUAUAUUUUUUUAUAAUCCCUGCCGGCCAUGUGCGAACUGUGCCGGCUGCCUGGCUCCCCCUGCUCCCAUGGGUUCCUGUGCACUGGGACAGUGUGGAGAUGCUUGGGGACGGUGGCAAACGUGGUGGCACAGAGAAAAAGGCAGAGACAGCAGCGGAAGAGGAAGCAGGAGGAGCCUGAGACCUUUCUUGGUUUUUGAUGUGCUUACUCCACUGCAGCUUGUGCUUUGCAUGUAGAUGCCUGGUCAUGCAGGUUGUGCUCAGGUUUAGCACCUUUAUGCCUCGCUUCAGGCUCUGAUUGCACAGCGUGCAAACCACUCGUGUCUUGUCAUCAGCACAUUGUCUGAAGAACUGCCAUGCCAGGUACCUCCUUGGAGCUGGCUUUGGUGUGCUCGGUCCCUGGGUGCGGUGGGCAGUAACAGGCGUACCGUCUAGGGGAUGGCCGCUCCGCUUUUGCACCCUGCUCCCUCUUAUGCUGUGCUGGUGGCUCUGUGCGACCACUGCCUCUUCCUCCAAACUGAGCAGGUCACUCUCAUGACCUUUAUUCCAUGUGGGGUCUAGGACCUCAUCAUCCUCUACAUCAUCUUCCACCCACUCCUCAACCCUGCCCUCCUUGCAGGUCUGCACACUGCCAAAAGCCAAAGCAGUUGGCACCUGUGUUUCGUCAUCAUCAGAGACGUGCUGCGGUGGUCCUUGCAUGUCCCCAUCCUCACGCAUAAGUGGUUGUGCAUCAGUGCACUCAAUCCCUUCCACUUCUGGGGCAGGGCUAGGUGGAUGGCCCAUGGAAACCCCACCAGCAGAGUCACACUAUUAGAUGCUUCGAUUUGACUCUCAGAUAUAAAGUGCACACCCCAAAUAUACUAUUUAGCACAAUUUUUUUUUUUAAAUUUGACUUUUUAAAACUCCAAUGUAAGCAGCAGAUUAGCAGCAAAACAAUUAGAAUGUUUACAACUGCGCAGUAAGUGCACUAUUAGACGCUUCUAUUUGACUCUCAGAUAUGAAGUGCACGCCCCAAAAUGUACUAUUUGUCAGAUUAGCAGCAAAACAUGCCCAGGGCAAAUGCCUUGUUAGCCUUGCGGCUAACUGACAUGCUGGGCUGGCGGGCGAGGGAGCACUUCCUCUGAGCUGUCUGCGCGCCGCAGAGUGAGG